This 85-nucleotide transfer RNA is filed under the name Verrucomicrobiota bacterium. Its description in RNAcentral is "Verrucomicrobia bacterium (activated sludge metagenome) tRNA-Ser". It matches the Rfam family "tRNA". From Rfam's summary of the family: Transfer RNA (tRNA) molecules are approximately 80 nucleotides in length. Lineage: Bacteria; Pseudomonadati; Verrucomicrobiota. The record is from RNAcentral.
GGAAGAGUGGCAGAGUGGCCGAUCGCGUCUGUCUCGAAAACAGAUUCACCGCAAGGUGACGGGGGUUCAAAUCCCUCCUCUUCCG